This 1408-nucleotide ribosomal RNA is filed under the name Synechococcus sp. MI0608E. Its description in RNAcentral is "bacterial SSU rRNA". It matches the Rfam family "Bacterial small subunit ribosomal RNA". Lineage: Bacteria; Bacillati; Cyanobacteriota; Cyanophyceae; Synechococcales; Synechococcaceae. The record is from RNAcentral.
GGUUAGUGGCGGACGGGUGAGUAACGCGUGAGAAUCUGCCCUCAGGAGGGGGAUAACGGUUGGAAACGACCGCUAAUACCCCAUAUGCCGCGAGGUGAAAUGAAUUUCGCCUGAGGAUGAGCUCGCGUCUGAUUAGCUAGUUGGUGGGGUAAGAGCCUACCAAGGCUUCGAUCAGUAGCUGGUCUGAGAGGAUGAUCAGCCACACUGGGACUGAGACACGGCCCAGACUCCUACGGGAGGCAGCAGUGGGGAAUUUUCCGCAAUGGGCGAAAGCCUGACGGAGCAACGCCGCGUGAGGGAUGAAGGCCUCUGGGCUGUAAACCUCUUUUAUCAAGGAAGAAGAUCUGACGGUACUUGAUGAAUAAGCCACGGCUAAUUCCGUGCCAGCAGCCGCGGUAAUACGGGAGUGGCAAGCGUUAUCCGGAAUUAUUGGGCGUAAAGCGUCCGCAGGCGGUCUUACAAGUCUGUCGUUAAAGCGUGGAGCUUAACUCCAUUUCGGCGAUGGAAACUGUAAGACUAGAGUGUGGUAGGGGCAGAGGGAAUUCCCGGUGUAGCGGUGAAAUGCGUAGAUAUCGGGAAGAACACCAGUGGCGAAGGCGCUCUGCUGGGCCAUAACUGACGCUCAUGGACGAAAGCUAGGGGAGCGAAAGGGAUUAGAUACCCCUGUAGUCCUAGCCGUAAACGAUGAACACUAGGUGUCGGGGGAAUCGACCCCCUCGGUGUCGUAGCCAACGCGUUAAGUGUUCCGCCUGGGGAGUACGCACGCAAGUGUGAAACUCAAAGGAAUUGACGGGGGCCCGCACAAGCGGUGGAGUAUGUGGUUUAAUUCGAUGCAACGCGAAGAACCUUACCAGGGUUUGACAUCCUGCGAAUCCCUUGGAAACUUGGGAGUGCCUUCGGGAGCGCAGUGACAGGUGGUGCAUGGCUGUCGUCAGCUCGUGUCGUGAGAUGUUGGGUUAAGUCCCGCAACGAGCGCAACCCACGUCUUUAGUUGCCAGCAUUCAGUUGGGCACUCUAGAGAGACCGCCGGUGAUAAACCGGAGGAAGGUGUGGAUGACGUCAAGUCAUCAUGCCCCUUACAUCCUGGGCUACACACGUACUACAAUGCUACGGACAAAGGGCAGCAAACUCGCGAGAGCUAGCCAAUCCCAUAAACCGUGGCUCAGUUCAGAUCGUAGGCUGCAACUCGCCUACGUGAAGGAGGAAUCGCUAGUAAUCGCAGGUCAGCAUACUGCGGUGAAUACGUUCCCGGGCCUUGUACACACCGCCCGUCACACCAUGGAAGUUGGCCACGCCCGAAGUCGUUACUCCAACCCUUGUGGAGGAGGAUGCCGAAGGUGGGGCUGAUGACUGGGGUGAAGUCGUAACAAGGUAGCCGUACCGGAAGGUGCGGCUGGAUCACCUCCUA